GUACUCCGUAGAACGAACCAACUUCUCUCCUUUUUUUUGGAUCCCUAAAGCUAUUUAAUUUUUUUCUAUUUUUUUCUACACUUUCUACUCAAUUUUUUUACUCUCAAAGCUUAUUCCCAAACUCCCUAUUUAUAAAUGAAUUUUUCAUAAUUUUUUGAUAGGAAAAGAAGUCCUAAAACCCUUAGAAAUUAUAUUAAUCCCCUUAAGAAUAUUCUUGACCGUCGGAUGGAGCUUGAACCGCCCAGAUCUAUCCAAAAUUCAUAGUUUUAAUCCUUAUCAAAGUCGGAUCGAACCACAGCCAUUCAAUCGCACCUGGGAUUAGUUUUGGACUAUCGGAUUGUGCUGAUAAUCUCUUAUUCUCAGUCGGGAGCAUCCUCAGCCAUCGGAUCUCAUGAUGGAUUCAUUUUCGAUCGUUCGAUCGCAUAAAAAAUCCUCUUAUAAACCGACAACAAACAGCAGCCGUUGGAUCGAUCUUCAGAUUAAAUCUCAACCAUUGGAUGGUGCAAAAUAGCUUCCGCUGUCCAUAGACCACACCUGUAGACCGCAUAGCAUUUUUAGUGGACCGUGCCCUGGCUCUGUGGAUCGAGCGACUAGUCCACC
Molecule: long non-coding RNA, 600 nt
Filed under: Elaeis guineensis (African oil palm)
Lineage: Eukaryota; Viridiplantae; Streptophyta; Magnoliopsida; Arecales; Arecaceae
Description: long non-coding RNA (EGUI_LNC061901)
Source: RNAcentral